RNAcentral lists this ribosomal RNA (397 nucleotides) under uncultured bacterium. RNAcentral's name for it is "partial 16S ribosomal RNA". It matches the Rfam family "Bacterial small subunit ribosomal RNA", at positions 523 to 918 of the family's 1533-position model. The record is from RNAcentral.
AUACGUAGGGGGCGAGCGUUGUCCGGAAUGAUUGGGCGUAAAGGGCGCGUAGGCGGCCCGGUAAGUCUGGAGUGAAAGUCCUGCUUAUAAGGUGGGAAUUGCUUUGGAUACUGUCGGGCUUGAGUGCAGGAGAGGUAAGUGGAAUUCCCAGUGUAGCGGUGAAAUGCGUAGAGAUUGGGAGGAACACCAGUGGCGAAGGCGACUUACUGGACUGUAACUGACGCUGAGGCGCGAAAGUGUGGGGAGCAAACAGGAUUAGAUACCCUGGUAGUCCACACUGUAAACGAUGAAUGCUAGGUGUAGGGGGUAUCGACCCCUUCUGUGCCGCAGUUAACACAAUAAGCAUUCCGCCUGGGGAGUACGGCCGCAAGGUUGAAACUCAAAUGAAUUGACGGGG